GACGAACGCUGGCGGCGUGCUUAACACAUGCAAGUCGAACGGAAAGGCCCUGCUUUUGUGGGUUGCUCGAGUGGCGAACGGGUGAGUAACACGUGAGUAACCUGCCCUUGACUUUGGGAUAACUUCAGGAAACUGGGGCUAAUACCGGAUAGGAUCUCCUGCUGCAUGGUGGGGGUUGGAAAGUUUCGGCGGUUGGGGAUGGACUCGCAGCUUAUUCGCUGGUUGGUGGGGUAGUGGCUUACCAAGGCUUUGACGGGUAGCCGGCCUGAGAGGGUUGCCGGCCACAUUGGGACUGAGAUACGGCCCAGACUCCUACGGGAGGCAGCAGUGGGGAAUAUUGCAGAAUGGGCGGAAGCCUGAUGCAGCAACGCCGCGUGCGGGAUGACGGCCUUCGGGUUGUAAACCGAUUUCGACUGUGACGAAGCGUGAGUGACGGUAAUGGGUAAAGAAGCACCGGCUAACUACGUG
RNAcentral lists this ribosomal RNA (468 nucleotides) under uncultured bacterium. RNAcentral describes it as "partial 16S ribosomal RNA". It matches the Rfam family "Bacterial small subunit ribosomal RNA", at positions 28 to 507 of the family's 1533-position model. The record is from RNAcentral.